ACAUUGUCCUCGCUCUGUUUACAACGCUAAAUCACAGAUUUUCACGUCUUGAUACAACGGCUGCAUUCCAAGCCACAACAAGUGCAACUUCAGACUGGGUUUAGCAGAACUCUUCCCAACCAUAAAACCCAUGUCUUCAACUUCUAAAACUGUAUUAAAUUCAUACGAUUGAUAAUAAACGACGAACUAUCUUUACUACCAUUUAU
Molecule: long non-coding RNA, 206 nt
Filed under: Paramuricea clavata
Lineage: Eukaryota; Metazoa; Cnidaria; Anthozoa; Malacalcyonacea; Plexauridae
Source: RNAcentral